Molecule: transfer RNA, 71 nt
Filed under: Loxodonta africana (African savanna elephant)
Lineage: Eukaryota; Metazoa; Chordata; Mammalia; Proboscidea; Elephantidae
Rfam family: tRNA
About the family: Transfer RNA (tRNA) molecules are approximately 80 nucleotides in length. Their secondary structure includes four short double-helical elements and three loops (D, anti-codon, and T loops).
Source: Rfam by way of RNAcentral
GCAGUGGUGGUCAAUGGUAGGAUUCUUGCCUUCCAUGCGGGGAGACCUGGGUUCAAAUCCCGGCCAAUGCA